RNAcentral lists this ribosomal RNA (407 nucleotides) under uncultured bacterium. RNAcentral describes it as "bacterial SSU rRNA". It matches the Rfam family "Bacterial small subunit ribosomal RNA", at positions 17 to 423 of the family's 1533-position model. The record is from RNAcentral.
UCCUGGCUCAGAUUGAACGCUGGCGGCAUGCUUUACACAUGCAAGUCGAACGGCAGCGGGGGCUUCGGCCUGCCGGCGAGUGGCGAACGGGUGAGUAAUGCAUCGGAACGUGCCCAUGUCGUGGGGGAUAACGUAGCGAAAGCUACGCUAAUACCGCAUACGCCCUGAGGGGGAAAGCGGGGGAUUCUUCGGAACCUCGCGCGAUUGGAGCGGCCGAUGUCGGAUUAGCUAGUAGGUGAGGUAAAGGCUCACCUAGGCGACGAUCCGUAGCGGGUCUGAGAGGAUGAUCCGCCACACUGGGACUGAGACACGGCCCAGACUCCUACGGGAGGCAGCAGUGGGGAAUUUUGGACAAUGGGCGCAAGCCUGAUCCAGCCAUGCCGCGUGAGUGAAGAAGGCCUCGGUGU